This 208-nucleotide unclassified non-coding RNA is filed under the name Hevea brasiliensis (rubber tree). The record is from RNAcentral. Lineage: Eukaryota; Viridiplantae; Streptophyta; Magnoliopsida; Malpighiales; Euphorbiaceae.
UAUAUUGCAGCUGGCAGAAUCAGGAUCCUUUUUUGUACAGGUUGAUUUAUUUAAAGUGCGUGGAAAGUUUGCAUUGUCAGAUGCUUAUGAAGAUCAUUUUUUACUUCCCAAAGGGAAAAUACUUGUUGUCACUCAUAGAAGAGUCAUGUUGAUGCAACAACCUUCCACCAUCAUUGCUCAGAGGAAAUUCAGCCCAGCUAAAGACCCG